Molecule: long non-coding RNA, 942 nt
Organism: Tympanuchus pallidicinctus (lesser prairie-chicken)
Lineage: Eukaryota; Metazoa; Chordata; Aves; Galliformes; Phasianidae
Exons: 5
Source: RefSeq, a predicted model, not a curated record
AACAUUAUGCAGCAUGCCCAAAAAACAAGCUUAUUUUUAGAUUACUACAGGCUUGAACUUGGGCUGACAUAACAAGACGCUGCCGAUUACAGCAAGGUUAUUUCCUGAAGAUAAUUGGCCACAGCAUAGAGUCUUCAUGAAAGCACUUCACAUUUGCAUGGAGAACAUCAGCCAGCUGCAAGACUCAGUGAUUUGAAAUGAAGUGCCGUCAGUCAUCCCUUGUACAGCUACUUCUCUGAAGUAACUCCAGUUCCAGUAGAUGUCAUUUCCUCCACAUAUCUCUGCCUGAAAAGUCUGAUGAGGCUGUCACCAGAAAACUUCAGGAACUGAUAGUCCAGGUCCUCAAAAAUGGAUCUGAAAAGGAGAGCUAAAGACAAAGGAGCAAUACUGACAGAAAAACAUGAUGAAGAAUUCUCUCCAAAGAUGUUUGCAAGACAGACUCCCAGUAGUUUUGAAUAGCUCUAGUCACUUGUACAUGUACAACCUAGAAGAAAGGAAGGAUUUAUCAAGCCGACAUCAGCCUCCUUGGUCAGAGAGCAGAGAUCUAUCAAUUUCUAUCUCUUGGCUAGUCGUUGUAAUAAAUAUAGGCUUGGUGUAUAAUGAAAACCAGCUGAGUGUUUCUCAAGGUACAUGCAACACAGAAACUGCAUUUGAAAUCUCAGAAAAUCUGCUGAACUUUCAGCCCUUUUUGUGUCUCUGUCUCUUCUUUUCACAUACACGCACAAACACACACCCCUUGGCAAACUUCAACCAGGAAAUAAAGAAAAGUGCUUUAAGAAAGCAGAUAUUACUGCAUUGUUAUUCUGGCCAACAUUCUGAAGAGCAUGCAAAAAAAAUACAAGUUGUGCCUUUUAUGCAUUUGUAUUGCAAACUAAUGUUAAAGAAUAAAAAAGGCUGAACCCUCUUUAUCCAUCAUGAUGAGUUGAAGGUAAGGUCAUUGCU